RNAcentral lists this long non-coding RNA (337 nucleotides) under Nicotiana benthamiana. RNAcentral's name for it is "long non-coding RNA (NBEN_LNC040651)". The record is from RNAcentral. Lineage: Eukaryota; Viridiplantae; Streptophyta; Magnoliopsida; Solanales; Solanaceae.
AUAUUAAAUGUUUAAUUAGUUUUCUUACGUCCAGCUCAUUAUUUUAUAAUGUUGCUAAAUAUUCGACCCAGCUCAACUCUCACAAUAAUACAGCUAAUUUUGACGGGAAGACAAAACUACCCUUCUCAGUUUCUAAUGUAGGACCCGAUGAACCACCCAUAUAAAUUGCUAAUGUUGAAUAAACUAUGGUCAUCGCAUAAACCAUGAGAGGUCAAGAUCAUAAUCCGAGCAGAAAAUUACAGGCAAAAUCCAAUUAUGGGCCAUACAGAAUUAUGUAAAAUUUGUCAUAUUCACAAGACUUUUAUGCUUCACCAUCCAAACACAUUACUUGUAUAAG